GAUGAAGAACGCAGCGAAAUGCGAUAACUAAUGUGAAUUGCAGAAUUCCGUGAAUCAUUGAGUCUUUGAACGCACAUUGCGCCCCCUGGUAUUCCGGGGGGCAUGCCUGUCCGAGCGUCAUUGCUGCCCUCAAGCACGGCUUGUGUGUUGGGCCCCGUCCUCCGAUCCCGGGGGACGGGCCCGAAAGGCAGCGGCGGCACCGCGUCCGGUCCUCGAGCGUAUGGGGCUUUGUCACCCGCUCUGUAGGCCCGGCCGGCGCUUGCCGAUCAACCCAAAUUUUUAUCCAGGUUGACCUCGGAUCAGGUAGGGAUACCCGCUGAACUUAAGCAUAUCAAUAAGCGGAGGA
This 346-nucleotide unclassified non-coding RNA is filed under the name soil metagenome. RNAcentral describes it as "partial contains 5.8S ribosomal RNA, internal transcribed spacer 2, and large subunit ribosomal RNA". The stretch from base 1 to 120 matches the Rfam family "5.8S ribosomal RNA", at positions 35 to 154 of the family's 154-position model. The record is from RNAcentral.